This 73-nucleotide transfer RNA is filed under the name Fusibacter sp. 3D3. RNAcentral describes it as "Fusibacter sp. 3-D3-R-P8ASC2010 tRNA". It matches the Rfam family "tRNA". From Rfam's summary of the family: Transfer RNA (tRNA) molecules are approximately 80 nucleotides in length. The record is from Rfam by way of RNAcentral. Lineage: Bacteria; Bacillati; Bacillota; Clostridia; Eubacteriales; Fusibacteraceae.
GCCGUCUUAGCUCAGCAGGUAGAGCAAUGCCAUGGUAAGGCAUAGGUCGUGAGUUCGAGUCUCAUAGUCGGCU